Non-coding RNA from Tinamus guttatus (white-throated tinamou), 109 nucleotides. Lineage: Eukaryota; Metazoa; Chordata; Aves; Tinamiformes; Tinamidae. The record is from RefSeq and is a predicted model, not a curated record.
UAGUUUUGCUUCAUACAGCUACACGUAGUGCUUAAGACAUUGGCAGACACUGAAAUGCAUAUGUUCUUAACAUGCAAAGUCCCAAGUGUGGGACUUGCGAACAUAUUUU